UCGGGAAUUUUGGGCAACGGGCGAAAGCCUGACCCAGCAACGCCGCGUGAGGGAUGAAGUAUUUCGGUAUGUAAACCUCGAAAGAAUGGGAAGAAUAAAUGACGGUACCAUUUAUAAGCUCCGGCUAACUACGUGCCAGCAGCCGCGGUAAUACGUAGGGAGCAAGCGUUGUUCGGAUUUACUGGGUGUAAAGGGCGCGCAGGCGGGAUAAAAAGUCAGUGGUGAAAUCCUACAGCUUAACUGUAGAACUGCCUUUGAUACUUUUAUUCUUGAGUUCGGGAGAGAGAGACGGAAUUCCAGGUGUAGUGGUGAAAUACGUAGAUAUCUGGAAGAACACCAGUUGCGAAGGCGGUCUCUUGGUCCGACACUGACGCUGAGGCGCGAAAGCGUGGGGAGCAAACA
RNAcentral lists this ribosomal RNA (402 nucleotides) under uncultured bacterium. Its description in RNAcentral is "bacterial SSU rRNA". It matches the Rfam family "Bacterial small subunit ribosomal RNA", at positions 355 to 774 of the family's 1533-position model. The record is from RNAcentral.